UUACGAUUGACGGAGCGAAGCGACGUCAAAGCGUAUACAAAGUCGAGUCGGUUUAAGGAUACGUUCGUUGGGUAGGGGAGCGUUCUGUAAGCCUGCGAAGGUGGCCUGUGAGGGUUGCUGGAGGUAUCAGAAGUGCGAAUGCUGACAUAAGUAACGAUAAAGCGGGUGAAAAGCCCGCUCGCCGGAAGACCAAGGGUUCCUGUCCAACGUUAAUCGGGGCAGGGUGAGUCGACCCCUAAGGCGAGGCCGAAAGGCGUAGUCGAUGGGAAACGGGUUAAUAUUCCCGUACUUGGUGUUACUGCGAAGGGGGGACGGAGAAGGCUAUGUUGGCCGGGCGACGGUUGUCCCGGUUUAAGCGUGUAGGCUGGUUUUCCAGGCAAAUCCGGAAAAUCAAGGCUGAGGCGUGACGACGAGGCACUACGGUGCUGAAGCAACAAAUGCCCUGCUUCCAGGAAAAGCCUCUAAGCAUCAGGUAACACGAAAUCGUACCCCAAACCGACACAGGUGGUCAGGUAGAGAAUACCAAGGCGCUUGAGAGAACUCGGGUGAAGGAACUAGGCAAAAUGGUGCCGUAACUUCGGGAGAAGGCACGCUGACACGUAGGUGAAGUGAUUUACUCAUGGAGCUGAAGUCAGUCGAAGAUACCAGCUGGCUGCAACUGUUUAUUAAAAACACAGCACUGUGCAAACACGAAAGUGGACGUAUACGGUGUGACGCCUGCCCGGUGCCGGAAGGUUAAUUGAUGGGGUCAGCGCAAGCGAAGCUCCUGAUCGAAGCCCCGGUAAACGGCGGCCGUAACUAUAACGGUCCUAAGGUAGCGAAAUUCCUUGUCGGGUAAGUUCCGACCUGCACGAAUGGCGUAAUGAUGGCCAGGCUGUCUCCACCCGAGACUCAGUGAAAUUGAACUCGCUGUGAAGAUGCAGUGUACCCGCGGCAAGACGGAAAGACCCCGUGAACCUUUACUAUAGCUUGACACUGAACAUUGAGCCUUGAUGUGUAG
This 1000-nucleotide ribosomal RNA is filed under the name Salmonella enterica. RNAcentral's name for it is "partial 23S ribosomal RNA". It matches the Rfam family "Bacterial large subunit ribosomal RNA", at positions 1180 to 2141 of the family's 2925-position model. Lineage: Bacteria; Pseudomonadati; Pseudomonadota; Gammaproteobacteria; Enterobacterales; Enterobacteriaceae. The record is from RNAcentral.